UGCAACCCUUGAGGGCCCUGGCGGUAGCUGCCGGGGACCCCAGAUGGUAGAAUGUUUGUUCACUCGAUGACUGAUGGCCCCUGGAUUGCCACGGAAGUACUUCCGAGAGGAAGAUGAGGCAGCCCGGGCCCGAAGGCCAGGGGGUUUGGAAGGAAACAACAUUCGUGUGGUUAACUGAUAACCGGGCCCCAUCCUUGGGCCCCCAGAAGCCUCCUUCCUCACGCUCCUCAGCAUGAUUAAGAUGAACUUACCUGCCUGCUAAUCAUUGCUGACUCUGUUGAUUUUGCCUUAAAAAAUUAACUGGGCAUGAGUUUGCGGUUUGCUUCACCCCUAACCCUGAAAAAGCCCUGGUGGGCAGGAGGCCGCCCGGGUUAUGCAAGAGGCCGCUGGCCUCCCCACACAUCCAGCUCCUCUUCAGCUGCUCUCCGAAGGGCACAUGACAGGAUUAUACUUCCUGGCUUCCUUUGCCGUUAGAUGUGACCAUGUGACUUGUUUCUGCUAAUGAAACGUGAGCAGAAACAAUGCAUCUGGGGCACCUGGGCAGAAACGUCAAGAACGAGUGCUGCAGCUGUGGACACCAGUGGAGCUACGGAGUCACCAGGAUGAGAACCCGACUGCCAGCCCCUGACAGACAUGUGCCAUAAUGAGCGAGAAGCCUCGGCUGUGGUCCCUGGGCCCUUGGUCUGUUCUUUUGUUCAGAAAGGAGGUUCCUAAGUGUUUCCAUCUUUUGGACCCCCAAAAGCUGGCUGAGACUGUCAGAUGUUUGGAGGCAGCAUAGAGGCUGAGAGUACAAAUUCUAGAGCCUGACUUUCUGGGCUUAAAUUCUGUUUCUGUCAUGGACAAGCUGUGUGACCUUGGAAUGAAGCGCUGGUGAGGAUGUGGAGCCACCAAAACCCCUAGACAGCACUGACUGAAGUGGUAGUUGGUAAGACUGAGCAGUUUACCAAUAUCUCAACAAUGCGAAGAUGCUCGUUGCCUGGGAUCCAAAAAUUCCACUCCUUCAUGUCACCCUAAAGAAGCCCUCAUCCGCGGGACUCUCGGUGCUCCCUUUGGCCUCGCUCCCUUCCACCUCACCAUGCUGAAGACCCAGCGACCAGGGAACACGAUGGAUUUCACCCCGGGUCUACUCCAAAAGGGCCCGGGCUGCCGGGAGAGCUGUGACCUGCAUAUCCACACUUGUUGGAACCCGAGCAUUCCCACCCUGGCUUCCAGGGGAAGAAACUGAGUCCCAGAGAUGACAAGGGCCUGAUGUUCCUUUUCAAGUCAGAACCAGAGUCAAGACCAGCCCAGAGGCCAGGCCCUGUCUGGGAAGCUGCCCAUUGGGUCUCUAGCGAAUUAUGUGUGAUGAUCGCUGAACAAGUAAGUCAUGUGCCUCCACGUCUGAGAAGAGGAGGUGGGGAGCCAGCAUAAGGACUUGCUGCCCAGAUCAGAGUCAUUUCUCAGGAACAAGAGAAAUCAUCCAAGAAGCAAUCAGAAAAGUUCCAAGAUACUUUCAAGAAAGAAUGGAAUUAAUCGCAGUCAAAUCUCAUAGAAUCUUCACAACAACCAAGGCUCAUUUGAUGAAUGAAGAAAUUGAAGAUUAGAGAGCUAAGGCAAGUGCUCACCAUUGCACAGCUUUAAGUGAGAAAGCCACUUAUCCAAAGUGACUCUGACAACAACCUCUGAUAAGGCCUAUGGCUGAGGCCAUUGGUGAAAGGAACUAGACCUAUACACCCAGGAAAGAUCAGGCACAUCUGGCCUUUAGAAACAUAUGCUGCCCUGAUGGAGGACUGUUAACCAGUGUCCAAAUUGCGCCCUCUCUUUUUACCUGUUCUGUCCUGAACACCUGCAAGUGCUGCUUUUCCAGCCCAGCCUAUCACAUACUCCAUCCACCCAUCCAUCUGUCUUUUUAUCUUUCCACCCUCAUCACCUCAUUUAUCCAUACAUCCACCCGCCCAUCUAGCCAGUUACUUAUUCAUCCACUUAUCACAUUCAUCCACACAUCUCUCCAUCCAUCCCACCCAUCUGUCACAUCUACUUAUCCAUUAAUCUAUCAUCUGCCAUGCCCACCCAUCCAUCCAUCUACCCACCCACCCAUCUUCCCAGUUUUACACUCAUUCAUUGAUCUUAUCCAUCCAUCUCUCCAUCCAGUCCAUUCCCAUCCACCCAUCUGCCCACCAACCCAUCAUGUCCAUUCAUCAAACCAUCUACUUAUCCACCCACCCAGACAUCUCCUCAUUCAUCCAUCCAUCUUCCCAUUCAUUCAUUCAUUAAAUAAACUUCCAUCAAUGUCAACAUAGAGUCAGACCCUGUGGUAGCCUGGAGUUUAACAAAAAGAAUCAGACAAAUACAGACCUUGCCCUCAAAGAGAUUUGAGGUGCUUACAAAAAUAACAAGUUCCUGAAGAGCCAAAAUAAUAAUCCAGAGAAGCUUGUUGAAAGGAAAACAAGGGUAGGAAAAUAACAAAGCUAUGAGUCAGGUGAGACACAGAUACGCAUGCUAUAGCAUCUCACCCUCACAAUUGCUAAGGCAGCUCCAGAUUUGCCUCCCUAGCUAGAGUCUGGCACCCAAAGCAAUACUGCCACAGAAGAGUCACAGGAUACUCAGUUGUGGCAGACGCUGCCCAGUAGCCUGCUUCCUUAUGACACGGUGGAGUUAUAUUUACCCAGGGCACAUCUGGAAAUGUCUGGAGACAUUUUUGGUUGGCACAACUGAUGGGGAGGGAUGCUCCUGGCAUUUAGUGACUCAAAGCCAGGAAGGCUGCUAAACAUCUUACUAAGCACAGGACAGCCCACCACAGCAGAGAAUCAUCCAAGCCAAGGUGUCAAUAAUGCCAAAACUGAGAAGUUUUUUUAUUAGAGAACAUCAGUUUUGUUUGGAGCAGCAUUGUGCCAAACCUCAAGAAAAGAACAUUGUCAGUCUAAGUCAGUCUUGGAUUUCCCAUUUCUUUCUGUAAGACACUUGAUUUCCCAGUGUUCCUGAACUAGGGAAGUCUGCUGGGAGAUGUCUAGAGAAAAAUUGCUUUUUGAUUACAAAACAAGUGCUUUGAGAAUAUUCCUCCCAGCUUCAGCCACCUAAGUGCAGGCCUGAUGCCUGAGGCUGUGACAGCUACCAUGGGUCUGUAAUGGAACGAAUACAAGGACCAAGAGCCAACAUAGUGGGCAUGGCAGAGAAGAAGGAAGGGAAGAGCAUGGAUCUGGCUGGCAUUGUUAGCCACUGUCAUGUUUCUUAAAACCUUCCUCAGUUCAUUCAUCCACCAAUUCUUAUUGAGCAUUUAUUCUGUGCCAGUCACUGUGGGAGUGGGCAAGACUGAACAAACCAUUGAAGUCCCUGACCUCAUAGAGCUUAUGGUCUAGUGGGGGGAGACAAACACCACAACACACGCGGACAACUGAUCAGAGCAAUGAUGAGAACUGCAGUGCAGAACCCAGUGGGUCGGGAACGCGUUGCCAGGCUGGCGGAAGGUCAAGUUUACCCAAUAUCACUACACCAAAGGUCAACUCAUUAUAGACUGUCCUACUAAAGUUUAAAAAUGUGAGCAGCUGGGAUUUAUUGCAUGCUUACUGGUGCCAGGCACUUCUCUAAGCACUCUUGCAUUAAUUUACUUGAUGCUGGCCACAACCUUGCCCUCUAUCGCCUCUCCUGAGGCUGUCCGCCCAGCCAUAUCUGCAGCUUAGCCAAGAGGGUCAGCACAGAUGGAUGCUAUCAGGCCAAGAAUCAGAUGAUUUUGUUUUUCAAACAAUCCUUAGUUUUAGUUUUAGCUUCUCUCCUUGGAGAUAACAUAUUAUUUAUCUGUAGCAACUGUUGUGAGAAUUAAGUGAAUAGGCAUAGAUUAUCCAUCCAUCCAACCAUCCAGCAAAGGCCUGUUGAAUGCUUGCUAUGCGAUGAGCACAGCGCGGAAGUUGGGAUGAAGGGACGAGAGGACAUCCUAUGAAGUAGACAGACGCAGGAGACAGAGAGACGCUGUCAGGUUAUGUCAUUAUUCAAUUAAUCUUUGGGAGGAACUCUGUGGGGCCUUCUGUUUACCUCUAGCCUAGGCUGGCGGCCUGGGCUGUCCUUCCUCAAAAGCUAUCUGGCUCCUUUGGCAGACAAUGAAUCUUCCUCUGGCCAAAGGGUCAACCGAGUUUUACAAUUGUGUUUAACCUUGGAUGAAGCACCUGAGGCAAGCCCACCCCUUUACCUGUGCUAUCUCUUUUAAUCACACUGCCUGUUGUGAGAUAGGUCCUGUUGUUGUCUCCACUUUACAGAUGAGGAAAUAGAUUCAGAGAGGGGAAGUGACUUGCCCAAGGUCACACAGCUGGUAUGGGGAAUGUGUCCCCAGGCCAUUUUUAGUUCUUCAGCCUCUGCUGUUUCCACUGCC
Manis pentadactyla (Chinese pangolin) is the source of this 4339-nucleotide long non-coding RNA. RefSeq lists it as uncharacterized. Lineage: Eukaryota; Metazoa; Chordata; Mammalia; Pholidota; Manidae. The record is from RefSeq and is a predicted model, not a curated record. The transcript is spliced from 9 exons.